GGGCCGGUCGUCUAGACUGGUAGGAUGGGUCCUUGGCAUGGAUCAGAUCGUGGGUUCAAAUCCCAUCCGGUCCA
Molecule: transfer RNA, 74 nt
Filed under: Candidatus Bathyarchaeota archaeon
Lineage: Archaea; Thermoproteati; Candidatus Bathyarchaeota
Description: tRNA-Ala
Rfam family: tRNA
About the family: Transfer RNA (tRNA) molecules are approximately 80 nucleotides in length.
Source: RNAcentral